UACAGAGGGUGCAAGCGUUAUUCGGAAUUACUGGGCGUAAAGCGUGUGUAGGCGGUUUUGUAAGUCAGGCGUGAAAGCCCCGGGCUCAACCUGGGAAUGGCAUUUGAGACUGCAUAGCUAGGGUGCGGAAGAGGGAAGCGGAAUUUCCGGUGUAGCGGUGAAAUGCGUAGAUAUCGGAAGGAACAUCAGUGGCGAAAGCGGCUUCCUGGUCCAGCACCGACGUUCAGGCACGAAAGCGUGGGGAGCAAACAGG
This 253-nucleotide ribosomal RNA is filed under the name uncultured bacterium. RNAcentral describes it as "partial 16S ribosomal RNA". It matches the Rfam family "Bacterial small subunit ribosomal RNA", at positions 524 to 776 of the family's 1533-position model. The record is from RNAcentral.